UUGCCAUUAGUUAUUAUUAUUGCUGUUUGACAGAUGAAAAACUGACAUGGAGAAAAGUUAGACAAUUCCUCCAAAUCACAAAGAUAAUGCCUAGAUCUAGAAGCCAAACAGAUGGGUUGAAGGUGAUACCUAAUUUUAACAUUUGAUGACUCCUGCCAAAUUACCCGCUGAAAAGAAUUUAACAAUUUAUAUUCCUUCCACAUCGUUGCCUCUUUCCCCACAUCAUAAUAUUUGUUCAACUGAGAGAGUGCUUAACUCAGGAGAUCAAUAAAGGUUCAUAGAGGAAGAAGUAUUUGAAAUUGUCCUGGAAGAACAAUAUUUUUCAACAGGCAGAGAUGGAGAAAGGACAAUCUACAUGAACAGAACAGCAUGAGCAAAAAGAAUCGGUUAGAGACUAUCCAUAGGAUAAAUUUCUAGCAAAUUGCUGAGUCCAGGAUAUGCAUGUUUGUAAUUUUGGAAGAUCUUAAAAACUUGCCUCCUAUAGGUGUUGUACCAGUAUGUACUUCUGCCAGUAAUAGAUGGGUGGGCUGCUGAUUCCUCAAAAUGGCCACAGAUAAUUUUAAGCUUGAGCAAAGGACCAGGCCUCCCAACACAAUGGAAAGAAAGGAGGCACCGUGUGAAGGGAAGAUGGCAUACGUGGCACAGACCUCCACCUUUGCUCACCACCACAGAAAGCCACUCCUGCAUGGGCAGGUGACGGCAGCGUCAGGAAGGGAAUUCAGAUUUACUUAGGUUGUUAGUCAUUAUUAAUUGCAAUAGUCUUGUGCCUUCAUUUAAAAAAA
Long non-coding RNA from Gorilla gorilla gorilla (western lowland gorilla), 782 nucleotides. RefSeq lists it as uncharacterized. NCBI's taxonomy places the organism in Eukaryota, Metazoa, Chordata, Mammalia, Primates, Hominidae. The record is from RefSeq and is a predicted model, not a curated record. The transcript is spliced from 5 exons.